This is a long non-coding RNA of Anguilla anguilla (European eel), 781 nucleotides long. RefSeq lists it as uncharacterized. Lineage: Eukaryota; Metazoa; Chordata; Actinopteri; Anguilliformes; Anguillidae. The transcript is spliced from 2 exons. The record is from RefSeq and is a predicted model, not a curated record.
UCAUAUUUUAUAUUAUUUUAGUGUAAGUAUUUCCCACAUUAAAUCCUGCCGAACUCGCGCUAAAUGCCGUAGCCUAAAUGAAUGUGCGGGUCAGGAACCUCGUCGAUAGCUUAUUUGCUUUUGAGUAGCAUUUGCUGCCCACUUGUCCUUGAGCUUUACCUUUGUGUUGUUCUAACCUUGAGGCUGGAAUGUUUCAGAUGGUCCACCGGGGUCCCCGUCCGCAGCACGGAGCGGCGCUUGCGUGUUAUCGUAAACACGCACGCCAGAGACAUUCUGGAAACAUUUUUUCUCCCACUCGUAAUCGUUUAACCUGCAAUUAUGGAAACAAUAGAGGCUUCAGUGGAUGCAAGCUGUCACACUCAGGACUUCCCAAAAUAAAGGUGGCAGAGGUCAGGGGUCACCAAUGGCAAACACUCCGGCUCCACGCUCACUGCACUCCAGACACUCUUGGCUCCAAGAACAAAACACAAAUACCUAAGGGUUCUGAGGGUUGGGGGGUUCUGAACAUAUAGAGCACAACAAGGAGCAGCUGAUGGAUUCUCAAUGAUAAUCACACCUGAUUAAUGCCCAGUGACACGCAACGAUCAUUGAUCACUGUGACACCAGUCGUAAUUCAAAACCCAGAGUCCGAAAACUUUCGCUUGCCACAUUGUUCUUUUUAGUCGACUGCUUGCGAAUGAUUUGAUGCUUGAUAUUGCCCAUAUGUGCAGCAAGAGCUAUUAUUCUUACAUACCUCUUGAAUACAUGUGACAAGAAAUAAAUAAAGAAGCCUUUAUUAUGA